Molecule: unclassified non-coding RNA, 383 nt
Filed under: uncultured bacterium
Lineage: Bacteria
Description: contains 16S-23S intergenic spacer region
Source: RNAcentral
UCCGGCUUGUCACCGGCAGUUUCUUCAGAGUGCCCGACAUUACUCGCUGGCAACUGAAGAUGGGGGUUGCGCUCGUUGCGGGACUUAACCCAACAUCUCACGACACGAGCUGACGACAGCCAUGCAGCACCUGUGUUCCGGCCAGCCGAACUGAAGGGAUCCAUCUCUGGUUCCCGCGACCGACAUGUCAAGGGUUGGUAAGGUUCUGCGCGUUGCUUCGAAUUAAACCACACGCUCCGCUGCUUGUGCGGGCCCCCGCCUAUUCCUUUGAGUCUUAACCUUGCGGCCGUAGUCCCCAGGCGGUGAACUUAAUGCGUUAGCUGCGGCACUGAUCGGGUCAAUCCGACCAACACCUAGUUCACAACGUUUAGGGCGUGGACUAC